Molecule: ribosomal RNA, 256 nt
Filed under: uncultured bacterium
Lineage: Bacteria
Description: partial 16S ribosomal RNA
Rfam family: Bacterial small subunit ribosomal RNA
Source: RNAcentral
CGGAGGGUGCGAGCGUUAAUCGGAAUGACUGGGCGUAAAGGGCACGUAGGCGGUGCGUUAAGUUGGAUGUGAAAUCCCCGGGCUUAACCCGGGAACUGCAUUCAAGACUGGCGAGCUGGAGUCUCGUAGAGGGGGUAGAAUUCCAAGUGUAGCGGUGAAAUGCGUAGAGAUCUGGGAGGAAUACCGGUGGCGAAGGCGGCCCCCUGGACGAAGAACUGACGCGUGAGGUGCGAAAGACGUGGGAGCAAACAGGAUU